CCAGAGGCAUGCUGGGAGCGUCAAAUGCAAAUUGAGCGUGCAGCCAGCGUUCCGCCUUUUCUACGUUGGGCCGGUUACCCACCCGGCCCAGUGCGCAGGCGCGGGAAAGUUGACCUAGAAAGUUUUGUACGAGUUGAGUGAAGAAGGCGGCAAGUUGAGUGGAGGUGGCGGCGGUGGGGCCCCGGACCAGGUGCCUCCAUGGCAGGCUCAGAAGAGCUGGGUCUCCGGGAAGACACGCUGAGGGUCCUAGCUGCCUUCCUCAGGCGUGGUGAGACUGCCGGGUCUCCUGUUGCAACUUCACCCAGAAGCCCUGCCCCAGAAGAGCCAACAGACUUCCUGAGCCGCCUUCGAAGAUGUCUUCCCUGCUCCCUGGGGCGAGGAGCAGCCCCCCCUGAGUCCCCUCGGCCUUGCUCUCUGCCCAUCCGCCCCUGCUACGGUUCAGAGCCUGGCCCAGCUACUCCAGACUUUUAUGCCUUGGUGGCCCAGCGGCUAGAACAGUUGGUUGAAGAGCAACUAAAAUCUCCAUCUAGCCCAGAGUUACAGGGUCCCCCGCUCACAGAGAAGGAAGCCCUACUGCGGAGGCUGGUGGCCCUGCUGGAGGAGGAGGCAGAAGUCAUUAACCAAAAGCUGGCCUCGGACCCCGCCCUGCGCAGCAAGCUGGUCCGCCUGUCCUCCGGCUCUUUCACUCGCCUGGUGGAGCUGUUCUGCAGCCGGGAGGACCGAUCUCGCCCAAGCCCAGCAUGCCCUGGGCCCCCGCCUCCUUCUCCGGAGCCCCUGGCCCGCCUGGCCCUGGCCAUGGAGCUGAGCCGGCGCGUGGCCGGGCUGGGGGGCACCCUGGCCGGACUCAGCGUGGAGCACGUGCACAGCUUCACGCCCUGGAUCCAGGCCCAGGGGGGCUGGGAGCUGGCCAAGUGUGUUUGAGGAACACGGAGGAGGAGGCCAGUAGGGCUGGAGCAGGGUGAGCAGGCGAGAGGUGACAGCAGGAGAGACACCGGGCCAGCCAGGACCCUGUGGUCACGUUAAGAACUUGGACUUUGACUGGGAGGGCAUCCUGGCUGUUUCACCUGUGGACUUGAACUUGCCAUUGGACUGAGCUCUGCCUCAGAAGCUGCUACAAGAUUACACCUCAUGUCCCUUCCCUCUGCCUGUGCUUUUCCAAGCCUUCCUGUUCCACUCAGGACUGUGGGGUGGUGGUUGCCAUUCCUAUUUUUGCCAAAAAUAAAUUGUUUAAAACUUUUCGUAUUAAAAGCUUUACAAA
This is an RNA transcript of Callithrix jacchus (white-tufted-ear marmoset), 1258 nucleotides long. It is a transcript of the gene named BCL2 like 12, with no coding region annotated. The record is from RefSeq and is a predicted model, not a curated record. Lineage: Eukaryota; Metazoa; Chordata; Mammalia; Primates; Cebidae.